GUAACGUUUUGCAACAAGAUAUUAUUUAUAAUGUGUUUAAAAUUGCAUUGCAUUAAAUUGCAUUAUAUCACAAACAUUAUCUUAUAUUAAUGAAAAAAUUCUAUUUGAAUUGAGAAAUGUUUGAAACAGUUCAAGAGAAAGUGAUAUGGAAACCUAAGAUUUUAUUUAUGGGAAUAAACAUCAAUGUCCAGCAUAUUCGGACUAAAUAGAGCUCAUGGCAAGAUCCACAAAAGAACUUGAAAUUAUGUUUUUAAUUAAUGUUAAUUAAAACAAGAAUACAGUUAAGCAGCAGUAAUAGUACGAUAAAAGAUAUAUCCCGAAACCUGGAUAAUGAAUAAAAAGACCAAACUAAACUAGAAUUAUGUACUGAAGAAGAGAAGAACAAACACAGAAGCGUCAGAAUUGUAUAAGAACUCAAGUAUAACCCAUAUAAUUAAAGAACAGAGAACGAGGUGGUUGAGCAUGGGUCAAACGAGUGGAAAACCAAGGGAAAAAUGGUUGGAGGAGGUUAGAAAAGAUUUGAGAACAGAGGAAGUGAGUGAUGGGCAAAAUAAGGCCAAAAACAUCGAAUCUAAUUGUUUUUUACGUGCAUCGACAGCGCUGGUCAUUGGCACACAAAAGCAAUCAUAAGUUCAAUACAGGAUUGUUACAAAAUCUAUUACAAUCUAUUACAGUUUGGUGGCUUUAAGAAAUUCCACGAUUUUCCUUACUUCCGUUCUGCAGUCGGUGAGGAUGAACUUAACAGUCACAGGAACUUGACAAGUUCGGCAGACAGGACGACUUUCUGACGACAAAGCCGUGAAUAAGUUUCGUGUGGUUGAUGCGAAGUCUUCUUAUAGUUACAACUUCUCUCCUAUUCAAAAAGUUUAGGGAAAUGUGAUAAGUAGAUGGGUGGAUUUGUUUUUUAAUGAGGUGUUUGAAGUUAAUCUUCAGAUCAUUGGCCAGCUGAACUGGGAUUUCAGGAUGAUUCUUUGUGGCUUCUUUGGUAUGGCGAUCGGCACAUUCGUUUCCAGCAAUUCCACUGUGCGAUGAAGACGUCCAUAUUGAUCAAUGCAUUUACGGCUAGUUUUCUCAACGGAGAGGCAGGUCCAGCGAAGCAUGUCAAGCUGUCCGCGAAGAGUUUCAAAUUCUUCUUCAAUUGCAGUUCGAAGGUCCCUUAUAAGGCCCAACAGGAAGAAAACCCAUGACUGUGCGGGCUAUUCAUCGAAUCCUUGCCUUUCGAUCCAUUUUGGCCCGUCACGUGGACCUCAAAAAAGUACAGAAUCAAUGAAGACGUGAGAAUUCUGGUCGUUCCAGUACACGUAGUUAUGCCAAUUCAACUUUAAGGUUGCUUCAUCCGACCACAAAAUGGAAUACGCGGUAACAAAAAAACUCUUAAAUCGUGAACUUGUAUCGGUUAUUUAUUCUGUAAACGCUUCUACUCUACGAGCACGGGUUAUCAUGACACAGACACAACUGUCUUAGGCAAGAACAUUUUAAUAUUUUAUGAGCAUUGCAGGACUUAAGCCGAUCUUUCGAGAUCAUUGCCUGACUUAUUUCGACAUAUGUAAAUAGUAGUUUUCUUGAAUGAGUCUAAUAUUUUCGCAGCUGUAUUGUGAUUUAUACGACUUGAGUCAACGAAAUAACAUUUUUUUAGCAAACGUCGAUAGAAUAUGGCAAAUUUAAAUCCAUUUAUCGACUAUAAGUGUUCCUGAGAAAAGUAUUCGUUAAGAAGUAUGUCUUCAGAGUGAAACGUAGUUCGCGCGUCAUUCACAAAGAUUUACUAUGGACUGCUGUCGCUUUUUUCGGAGGUAAACGUCGAUCUGGUUGAGAUAAUCUGAGUUGAUCAAGACCCCAACGGAUGUGAUCAAUAUGAGUUGAUAUAUCAGAGUCGAAUUGAAUCAUUGAUACAACCUGGGCCGAAUAUUGUCUCUAGUGAAGGUUUAGGUGAGGAGUAGAUUACAAUUAAGUUGCCCUAUAACGGCAUAAUAAAUUUUUAUAAAGUAUACUAUAAAUUUUUUUAUAAAUAGAAGUUUUAGUUCCAGUUUUAUUUCGUUUAAGUCGUUCUUUUGACCGAUUUGUUACAAUUAAUUGAUUUGAUAGAGAAUUCGUACAAUAAGUAGUAUCUUAGUUAUUUAUAUUUGUCAUAUGUCGAAAGAACUGACUCAUGAAGAUGCAGAAUAUCGGUGAAAGCUGCUGCAAAGUAUUUUAAUAUAAUGACAAGUUGAAUGACAAAUAUCCUGAAAGACGUGGUAUGAGUCAAAGACAAUCCUUUCCGGAAAAAAACACAAUUUUUAUUGAUUGGAUUCUUGUAAGUACUGACCAAGCUUUCUCUUUAACGAAAUCACAGCUGUUGUGGAUUUUGUUUUAAGUUACUUCAAAGAUGAAAAUAUAUGUAACAAACGAUACAGAUCGAAAAACUUCUAUUAUAGAAAAUGGUAUAAAACAUAGUUAAAAAAUUUUAAAGCUGAUUUGCCAAAAAAUAGUUCCAACAAGAGAAAUACUCGUAGGGCAGAGAAGAAGUUUGUAACAUGUUUGAUAGGAUUAAUGCCUCCGAUAGUAGUUACUUUGUACGAGAAAUCGCUGUAUACAUUCAUAUUUAGUUAUUUUUAAUAUUUUUCUUGGUGCAUAUAGGUUGUAUGCAUACGAGGGUUGUCUAAAAAGUUUCCGAUCUCAACAUAAAAAUGUCUACGUUUAUCUUAGAAUGUGUUGAGAGAUUCUCACAAAACUUUCAGCCAUUUUGGACGCUUAGUUUCUGUUCUGACAAUCUUAUUAGUGAGUAGUUUUGAUCAAUAAUUCUGAAAAUAGCAGAAACUGUCAUUAAAUAUUUUUUUCCUACUUACUAAUCAAUAGUCCAGCCCGAUUUACAACGAAUGCAUCUCGAUCGAGACCCAAGCUAAGUUUAAUUUUACAUUUUGUAUUCACUAAAGUUUUACGGCGGCCUUCGGCUCCUUGGCCUCCAAUCAUUUUCUUCAAUGUAUGAGUUUAAAGUGAUUAAUAGAAGUUUGAAUAUUGUGUCACACCUUCGCCAUCCUUGAUCCUAAGACGUUUGCCCAUGAGAGCAUCGCUCACUGAUUGAGUGUAUAGAUUUAAAAGAAGAGUACGUUGGUAAAAAAAAAUGAUUAUGGAAAAAAGUAUUACUUCUUCGUUAGGUCGGAAACUUUUUAGACAGCCCUCGUAUACUAAAUACAGUUAAUUAUUAGUUUCUUUACUAGGUGAAUCAGGUAUUGGUCGCAUUAAGAUCAUAUUUACGACAAAGAUAAAUAUAGAUUUGUUCGGUGCUAUAAAAAAAUUAUUUGAAAACCUUGAAUUUUAAAGGACGGUUUAAAAAUUAUAAUUGUAGUACGUUUGACCACUGACUUUUGUACCCUAUUAACGAAAUCUUUUGAAAACCUCAUUGAAUCGUUCCUAUUGGCAAGACUGUGUAAAAUGGAGGCACUGAAUGACGUUAACACGUUAUACAACAGCCAUUUGCUUCUGUUGUCUGUCUGCCUGUUAGUUAUAACAUAAUUUUCUAUUUUGUUUCAUUAAUAAAUAGUCUUAUUUAUGAGGAGAAUUUAUAACAUGUGUAGUUUUUUUGUAAUUUUGGUAAAGUAUGACGAUAAAUUGCUAGAUUGUAUCUUGUACAAAAUUGUCAAAAUUUGAGUUUGAGUUGCUACCCUGUUCGCCAGAUUUAGCCCUAUCGGAUUAUUUGCUGCUCCCAAACUUGGAAAAAUGGCUCGUUGGUCAAAGAUUUUCCAGCAAUGAAGAGGUGAUGUCGGCAGUUAAUGGCUACUUUGUGGAGCUUGACGAUUCUUAUUAUAAAAAGGGUAUCAAACUUAUUAAACAUCACUGGGAAAAGUGUAUGGAGUUAAAAGGAAAUUACGUUUUUUUAUGUAGCUCGUUUUAUAAUAAACUAUCAAAAAAUUA
Molecule: long non-coding RNA, 3888 nt
Organism: Diorhabda carinulata
Lineage: Eukaryota; Metazoa; Arthropoda; Insecta; Coleoptera; Chrysomelidae
Exons: 2
Source: RefSeq, a predicted model, not a curated record